GAUGAACGCUGGCGGCGUGCCUAAUACAUGCAAGUCGAGCGAAUGGAUUGAGAGCUUGCUCUCAAGGAGUUAGCGGCGGACGGGUGAGUAACACGUGGGUAACCUGCCCAUAAGACUGGGAUAACUCCGGGAAACCGGGGCUAAUACCGGAUAAUAUUUUGAACUGCAUGGUUCGAAAUUGAAAGGCGGCUUCGGCUGUCACUUAUGGAUGGACCCGCGUCGCAUUAGCUAGUUGGUGAGGUCACGGCUCACCAAGGCAACGAUGCGUAGCCGACCUGGGAGGGUGAUCGGCCACACUGGGACUGAGACCCGGCCCAGACUCCCACGGGAGGCAGCAGUAGGGAAUCUUCCGCAAUGGACGAAAGUCUGACGGAGCAACGCCGCGUGAGUGAUGAAGGCUUUCGGGUCGUAAAACUCUGUUGUUAGGGAAGAACAAGUGCUAGUUGAAUAAGCUGGCACCUUGACGGUACCUAACCAGAAAGCCACGGCUAACUACGUGCCAGCCGCCGCAGUAA
This 515-nucleotide ribosomal RNA is filed under the name uncultured bacterium. Its description in RNAcentral is "partial 16S ribosomal RNA". It matches the Rfam family "Bacterial small subunit ribosomal RNA", at positions 28 to 523 of the family's 1533-position model. The record is from RNAcentral.